Molecule: long non-coding RNA, 837 nt
Organism: Quercus robur (English oak)
Lineage: Eukaryota; Viridiplantae; Streptophyta; Magnoliopsida; Fagales; Fagaceae
Exons: 2
Source: RefSeq, a predicted model, not a curated record
ACAAAAGUAUCAUUUUUUUUACCACUUUUCCAUUCUUUAUGAUCAACGAGGGCUCCGCUAGUUUAAAGGGGUCUGACAUACAUUUUCUUUACAUUCAAUAUUAAUUGCCUUUCAAUAUCCUCGAAUCUAUUAUUGAAGUGUCUUACUUUGAGCAACAUUUAGCUUUCUUCUGAUUUUUUUAGAGAUUUAGAGGUGUUUCUGGUGAUUGGAGAUGAGUAUACUUUCUCACUGUAUCUUUUCAAGUUCAUGAUCAUUUAUUAUCAGCACGUAAUGGUGUUCACUUACAUCUUGAAACAGGUGAUGCUUUGCACAGCCUAAGGACCAAUUUACAGGAUCCUAACAAUGUCCUAUAGAGUUGGGAUCCUACCCUCGUUAACCCCUACACAUGGUUUCAUGUCCUACACAGUUGGAUUUUUAUGCAGUUUGAGGAUGACAGUUUGGAGUUUGCAAAGACUGUGAAGCAGUGGAAUGUAAAGAUUAUCUCAAUUAGCAAGAAUAAGCGACACCAAGAUAGAACUACAACGUUGGAUGUGUGGGAAAAACUAGAAGAUUUUGUUCGGUCACAAUCACAUUCUUGAUGUGCACCGACUUUUUAUCAAUAGAUAGUUUUCUUGAAAAAUCAAUUACCCAUAUUUACAAAUUUGGAUAGUCUGGAGUUUAUGUCAAAAGUUGGAACUUUGAUAAAAAUAAGUAGGGAAUUGUAGUUGACAUUGUUUAUUUUAGGUGUGUGUGUAUAAUUGUUAAUGUAAGACUUGGUCUUUGUUUUUGUGAAUUUUGGUGAACUUCAAGGUUUUUCAUUCAUGGUAGUUGAUACAGAGGAUGCAUUUUGCAAGAACA